RNAcentral lists this ribosomal RNA (157 nucleotides) under Fusarium oxysporum. RNAcentral describes it as "5.8S ribosomal RNA". It matches the Rfam family "5.8S ribosomal RNA". Rfam says of the family: 5.8S ribosomal RNA (5.8S rRNA) is a component of the large subunit of the eukaryotic ribosome. It is transcribed by RNA polymerase I as part of the 45S precursor that also contains 18S and 28S rRNA. The record is from RNAcentral. Lineage: Eukaryota; Fungi; Ascomycota; Sordariomycetes; Hypocreales; Nectriaceae.
CAACAACGGAUCUCUUGGUUCUGGCAUCGAUGAAGAACGCAGCAAAAUGCGAUAAGUAAUGUGAAUUGCAGAAUUCAGUGAAUCAUCGAAUCUUUGAACGCACAUUGCGCCCGCCAGUAUUCUGGCGGGCAUGCCUGUUCGAGCGUCAUUUCAACCC